AAGAGUUUAGGUUAGCACAAACCAAAGGCCUUCAAAGCUUUAAAUAAGAGUGAGAAUCUCUUAACCCUUA
RNAcentral lists this transfer RNA (70 nucleotides) under Pronothobranchius seymouri. RNAcentral's name for it is "tRNA-Trp". It matches the Rfam family "tRNA". Rfam says of the family: Transfer RNA (tRNA) molecules are approximately 80 nucleotides in length. Their secondary structure includes four short double-helical elements and three loops (D, anti-codon, and T loops). The record is from RNAcentral. Lineage: Eukaryota; Metazoa; Chordata; Actinopteri; Cyprinodontiformes; Nothobranchiidae.